RNAcentral lists this long non-coding RNA (697 nucleotides) under Hordeum vulgare. Its description in RNAcentral is "long non-coding RNA (HVUL_LNC002251)". Lineage: Eukaryota; Viridiplantae; Streptophyta; Magnoliopsida; Poales; Poaceae. The record is from RNAcentral.
GCUAUUGAAGUGAGUAAAUUUUCCUUUCAAGGGAGAUUUUUAUGCCUACCGUUUCUGUAUGUUCAGUGUGACCACAAACAAACAUGCUGACUGCUAAAGUUUUUCCAGGUGUGAUUGCUUUAGUUAGAGAAGGCACUGGUAUGACAUGAGAAAUUAUUUCUGUAACACUUGAUCUUGGGUCUGCAACACUUGCUAACAGAGAUGCAGCCAAAACAAAGCCUAUACUGAGUGUAACAUACUCUGCAGAUCAACACCCGUCUUUUAAUGUGAGGUCCGUACUAUAUAUCCAGUGCAAUUUAUUUACUAUUCUCGGAUUCUGAAUGUACAUAUAGUUCAAUUUCAUGAGUUUAACCUUUCAAGUUAUUGUUUUCUGCAUAUGAUUUUAACAUCUCCCAUUUUCUCUAAAAAAAUAUAUUCAGUUUGAGUUUCAGUACUGCUUAUUAUGUGCAUUAUAGUCUCACAAUUCUGAAUUUAAUCUUUUUAAUUGAGUAGCAUCAUAAUUUUUUAUUGUGGCCUCAUGCUUAAAUAAUUAAAUUUGGCAGGUUGCAGAAAUUCGAAUUUACUAUCUCUGAGAAUUAGUAUAUAUUCUGUGUGGUUCACCAAAUUUACUAUCUCUGAGAAGUUUUCGUUUGAUCUUUUAUUAGUAGUAUAGAUUUGCGGCUUACAUUGCUAAUAUUUGAUCCUCGAUAGCAAUGCU